CCGGAAGUGGCGCUGUGGAGAGAGAGUGCCUGCGGGUGGAGAAAGGUCCAGUCGGGUGGAAAGCACCGAGGGCCCCAGGUGCAAUGAGGAGGAAGAAAGAAGGUCCUAAUAUUUAAACGCCUGAAAAACAAGUGGUUAUUGUUUUUCUUGGGAAAUGGAAGGCCUGGAAAGCGGAACUUGGGUUCAGUGGGCCGGGCAAUAGCAAUAAGGCGGCAGUAAAUUGCAACCAAAGUCAAGAAACUCAAGCUCCUAAUUUCGGGAAAAUAUACACUGGGUUUAAAGGAAUAGCAUAGGACAUGCUGCCUAAUUUUUGACCAGUAUCUCUUAUUUUUGGUAACCUCUGAAGAAAACACCUACUACUUCGUUUUGAAAAUAGACUUUCCUUGUGAAGCUAUUAAAAUGCUCACUCACGGACACUGAAUAAAAUUCCAUUCUAUGGAUGUACCACAGUUUGUCCAUUCACCUAUUUGACGGACAUCUUGGUUGAUUCCAAGUUUGGACAAUUAUAAAUAAAGCUGCUAUAAAUAUCCACGUGCAGGUUUUUGUAUGGACAUAAAUUUUCAUCUCAUUUGGGUAAAUACCAAGGAGCGCAACUGCUGAAUCUUAAGAAACACAAGGGAAUCUUUCUCUGGUAUUCACUGUGAGGACCUAGUAAAGGUCCUAGAAAUAAAACUCACAAAAAUAUGGGGAACUCCCUCUGCCUGGGUCCCCCUGGAGUUUUUAACUCUCAG
Molecule: long non-coding RNA, 731 nt
Filed under: Equus asinus (donkey)
Lineage: Eukaryota; Metazoa; Chordata; Mammalia; Perissodactyla; Equidae
Description: lncRNA (ENSEASG00005037161.1)
Source: RNAcentral